GGAGGGGUGUCCGAGCGGUUUAAGGAGCCGGUCUUGAAAAUCGGUGUCCCCUUUAUUGGGGCCGUGGGUUCGAAUCCCACCCCCUCCG
Molecule: transfer RNA, 88 nt
Filed under: Thermodesulfobium narugense DSM 14796
Lineage: Bacteria; Pseudomonadati; Thermodesulfobiota; Thermodesulfobiia; Thermodesulfobiales; Thermodesulfobiaceae
Also listed under: 1 other name
Rfam family: tRNA
About the family: Transfer RNA (tRNA) molecules are approximately 80 nucleotides in length.
Source: Rfam by way of RNAcentral